RNAcentral lists this long non-coding RNA (1392 nucleotides) under Fragaria vesca (wild strawberry). RNAcentral describes it as "long non-coding RNA (FVES_LNC004014)". The record is from RNAcentral. Lineage: Eukaryota; Viridiplantae; Streptophyta; Magnoliopsida; Rosales; Rosaceae.
GUAACAUCCCGGACCUAAUUUUACCCUUUUUACUGGGUAUUUGACGAGUUAAUGAGGAAUUUAACCGUGCUUGUAAUUUGGUAAUUUAUCACUCGAGUUUAUUGUCGAGUUUUACUCAAAAUGUUAAAUUCCUCUUUUAAGGGCUCGAUUGUAGUAUGUGUCGACAUGGGUUCAGCGGUGCCUAUAGAUGAUUUAUCAGAGGUUUGGUUAAGUAUAGAAUUAUAUUUUCGGAAGCAAAUAACGUUUAAUCCAGGCUGUUAUAUCUAUUAGGGCUUUGAUCUGGGCCGUAGAAUUUAAGCUUAAAAGGGUAAAGUGGAGCUUGACCCAGUCAAAAACCCAACUCGGGUUUGACCGAGCCUAACCGUCUCCCUCUCUCUUCUCCCUCGUCUCCCUCUGUCGCUGCCUUCUCCAGCGCAGCUCCGCCGUCUCUGGCCACCCCUGGCGGCGAGCCACCGCCGUUCUCUCCCUCUCCUCCUCUCCUUCUGGCCCAGCCGUGGAUCGCAUGUCUGACCGAAAUCGGAGGGAGAUCGAAAGCAUGGAUACUUCACUGGUUGUGCUGAUUUCCGGCGAGCUCCGGCGGAGGACAGCGGCAUUGAAGGGUAUAUUCUUGUUCUCUUCACUUUCCUCUCCCUUUCUUUGUCAUUUAUUGUGCGAAUCGAACCCUAACCUAGAAACCCUUUCUUCUUUUUUCUGGGUUUCGAGCUCUUAGCUCCGGCGAUCGGCGUCCGAUGGUUUCCGGGCGAGUGCUCUGGGUUUUUGCUGAAGCCGAUAAGGCUUCAUGGUACCUCUUGUCUCCAUCCCGAUGACUUGCUGAGCUCCAAGAGGCCAAAUCGAUCGUGUGUGGAGGCUUGAGGUGUUGUUGCUGCUUAAUGGGAGGAACCACGAACCCGGAAUCCGACAAGAGAGCCACUGCCGGCAGGAGAAGCUUUGCUGUCAUCUGAAGGUAAUCUUCUUGCAUCUAGAGUUAUUGGGUUGCUGCUGUGUUGAUCAGGGUUUGAGAAAAUUUGGUGUAUGGCUGCUAAUGUGAAUGUUUUGGUUGUUGUUGUCGAUAACUUGGAAUUUGGAGUAUACGGGGAAGUUAUGGCGAAAUUCCGGCAAGUGGCCGGAAUCCGGCAGAAUAUUCCGGCAAGUCGUCGGAAUCCGGCGAAGGCAGUUAGUCCGACAAGAGCAAUUGAGGUAGUUAUCGAAGUUUUCCUUUUUAUUUUGCGUUGUUUCAUAAAUAGGAAAGUUUGUCGGUUUAUAAUCAGAAAUCUUUCUAAGUGAGGAAAGUUCCUAUUUUGGGAAACUUUCCCUUUUUGGAAACUUUCUAUUUAUGGAAACCCUUUUUGGGUGCCCUUAGUAAAUUUUAGGGUGAAGUUGUGUAGAGAGGAAAUGAAGGAAAUUCUUGGUUUU